CAGUAGCCGCGGGAAUACGAAGGGGGCUAGCGUUGCUCGGAAUGACUGGGCGUAAAGGGCGCGUAGGCGGAUUGUUUAGUUAGGCGUGAAAUUCCUGGGCUUAACCUGGGGACUGCGCUUAAUACAGGCAGUCUAGAGUGAGGAAGAGGGUUGCGGAAUUCCCAGUGUAGAGGUGAAAUUCGUAGAUAUUGGGAAGAACACCGGUGGCGAAGGCGGCAACCUGGUCCUUGACUGACGCUGAGGCGCGAAAACGUGGGGAGCAAACAGGAUUAGAUACCCCCGUAGUCCCUGUCUCUUAUAC
Molecule: ribosomal RNA, 301 nt
Filed under: uncultured bacterium
Lineage: Bacteria
Description: partial 16S ribosomal RNA
Rfam family: Bacterial small subunit ribosomal RNA
Source: RNAcentral